This 7293-nucleotide long non-coding RNA is filed under the name Ananas comosus (pineapple). RNAcentral's name for it is "long non-coding RNA (ACOM_LNC034949)". Lineage: Eukaryota; Viridiplantae; Streptophyta; Magnoliopsida; Poales; Bromeliaceae. The record is from RNAcentral.
UGUGAAGGUCCCUUGGUAUCUUUUGGACAUGUUUGGGUGAAAUUGGAGUGAAAACGGAAACUUUAGAAUUUUCUGUAAAGAACGGGACUGAGAAAAAUUAGCGGAAAAUGCACAGUGUCAGAAAAUUAUGAAAAUUGGCAGAGAUGUCAGGAACAUUUUUAUGAGGCUAGAUUUGAAGUUUCAGAUUAUUCUGACACCUAUAGAGAGAGAAAUAGCAUCCGAAAGUUAUCUGAUGAAGAUUACAGUUCGGGACAGUUCGCAGUGACCAAACGGGGUCGAAACUGAAAUGUUAAAAUUUCAGUGGACUUGUUAAGGAAAACCGAGUAUGCCUGUCGAAUUUGAGCUCAAUUGGACUGUCGGAAGGGCUCCAAUUAAAUGUAUCAGACUAGAAUUGGAUUGAAGUGAUAAGAUCGAUGACUUAUGGACCUAAAGGCAAUUGUUACAUGCUUAGUGGAUUUCCACUAACCGGCCAGGGGAAUCUCCUCCAUGCUUAUCCUCCUUUUCAUCCUCCUGUACGUAGAGAGAGAAGGAGAAAAGAAGUGAAAAGGGGAAAAAGAGAGAAGUAAUGGAUUUGGUGCCGUUUGACGAGCCGAUCGAAACGCCGCGCACCUAAUUUUUAGUGCUUCGACACUCGGGUUAGUAUUAUAAUAUUAUAAUCUCAAAUCAGAUUUUUUUUGAUGGAUUCUUGAUAGUAGAUGUUAAGAAAAGGUGUUUUGGAUGGAUUUAUUAGUUGAUAUAGCUUGGUUUUGCCAUAGAGAACUUAGGAAAAACCUAUAUAGGUAUCAUGUGUGCUUGUUGUGAGAAAGCUUAAGAACAUGAAAUGAGAAUCUGUUGGAAAGUAAUUUGUUGGAAGGAAACCUGAAGUAGAGUUAGUAUAUUUCUUUGAUAAGGUUUGUUUUUUUUAUUACCUUAAAUAAGGUCUAUUUUGGAUGUUCUUUGAUUGCUACAGUUUGUAGCUUCUAUAAAGCUUAGAGAAGCAUGCUGGUAGUAGGAGUGAACUUAGGCUUUCUAGGUUACUAAAAGCUGUUUGCUAUAAAUCCUAGGGAAUAGGCCUAUAUAGGUAUCAUGUAAAUGAACCUAGCUGUUGAGAAAAAUGAAGAGUAAAUUAUAAUUCCUGAUUAAAGCUUGAUUGUAUACCUUAAAGAAAUGAAUUUGUAGUAGAAUUCAGGAAUUCUGAAACUUUAAGAAUGAGAGGUAACAGAAGUUGAUCUCUAAUGUUCCUAAAUUAUUUAACAUUGGUAUUGAAGCCUAGGUUUCUAUAUAGGUUCUUAUAGAACCUAUAUAGAAACAGGUUGUAUUAAGCUAAUGUUUGGGUAGUAUUUAGAGCUCUAAACUCAAAAAUGCUAACUUGUAGGAUUGAGGCCCCAGCUUGAAAUUAAUCGCGUGGAAACCUAAUUGAGGGUAAAACAAACGCGUUGGCGAAGUCGGUUCGGCAAUCCGUCGCUCCUACGCGAAGAUAUCGCCAAAAGAAGAUUUUCGGCGACAAGUGUCGGGAGCGCGGGUCGCGAUUCGUGGAAAAGUGCGAGAAGUGGAUUUCUCUCAUUCCAGUACCAAAUAAAGGUGGGUUAUGCUUACCGAAGCGAUUAGGUCGCUUCCCAUGUCAAAGUAAAGUAUGGUCUCAUUUGAUGCAUAUAUGAAUAUAGUUGUCGAUAUAUGAAUAUAAAUGCUUGAUGCGUAUGAAUGAAUAGGCAUAAAUGGUGGUUGACAUAUUAUGAUUGUUGACAUACGAUAGUUAUCAGAUAAGUAUGAAUGCUACAUGCAUAUGAAUAUGAAUGCUAGAUGCAUAUGAAUGUAUUAUAGUUCAAACUAUAUGAACGUCGAUAAUUCUAAUUGAUAAAGGAACUUCGAUGUUGAUAAGUAAUUGAGAAUAUGUAAACUAUGAACCUAGGCAAGAGUACCUAGGAUGAUAUAUAGAUCGAGUGGCACGGCCUAGUGUCAGUAAACAUAGGUCUGACAUGAACCUAGUGUCAUUGGACAUAGGUCGAGUAAUUAAACCUAGAGUCGAGUUCUAGGUGAAAAUGAUAUAAAACCUAGCAAAUGAACCUAGGUUAUGAUAUAUAGUAAGACUUAGUACAUUUGAACUAAGUUGUGAAUAUUAGUGGUAUAGUGACCACUAGGAAAGGAUUGGUAUCGACCUAGGAGGGUCGUCAACAUAGGGUAAAGUGAGUAAACCCUCAAGUUGUGGAAAUGGAUUCCGGAAUCCCAAGAUCUAUUAUAACCUUGGUAUCAAGGCUAGGGCGUGUGCGACGAUUUCGCCGCCGAGAUUGAUACCAAGGCAGGAUUGGGUGUGUGCGCAGUGUCCACCACCCGGAGGCUUGAACCAUUGUUCGGCGUGUGCGACGAUUUCGCCGCCAGAUGGUUAAGCCAGCUUGUGGAUCCUACCGCCUGUUGACUGAACCACUGUCGUGGCGUGUGCGACGAUUUCGCCGCCGGGUGGCUAAGUCAUUGACCUAGGCUGUUGUUGGGUGAGGUGCGACUCGUUCGCCGCCAGACAGCUAGGACAGGAGUACGGUGAGCUGUCGCCAGCGGAGGUGCAUGUGAAGUUCCUUCACCUCGAGCUAGACAGUGCGCGGACUAUCCGCAAUUGAUUGACUCAAAACCGAGUCGGGUGGCAUAGUGAGAUUAAGGUAAGAGCAACCUUAAGAAAGAAUUUGCCAAUGAAUAUAGUGGGGCCAAGUUUAAGGUGUAGAACACCAAGUACAAGUACAAAGAAUAAAGAGCAAAACAUGAACGAUAAUGAAAUUAGCUAAUGAACGAGAAUAGCUAAGAAAUAAAAGAACGGCUAUAAGUAAAGAAUGGUUAAAGAUAUAAAGUAGAAUCAAGUAAUCUACUUACAUGAUUGACAGGUUUUGCAUAUUGCAUAGCAGCGAGGCAAGGUAUGGUUUUAUUUAUUGCUUAGUCAAAUAUCUAUCUAUCUAUCUAUUUGUUGAACUAACCUACUGUUGCCUCCUUUGGACCUGGUGGGUCGAGCUCUUCCCUUGGGUGGCCGUACCCACUGGGAACUAUAUUUAUAUAGUUCUCACCCCCGUGUUGUUUUGGGGGUACAGGUUGCACGCGAGCGGCGCGGCGGCGCGAGGAGAGGACAGGGCGUAGCUCCGUAGAUAGCGCCCCACCACUGAGACCGAGAUAGCAAUACCCUGAUGUGAUCGAGCUCAUAGAGUAUAAGAUGAAGAAACAAAUUUGUAGUAAAUUGUAUAAGUUUUGUAAUAACUUAAAGGUAUUUGUAAUAGUGUAAAUGUAAAAUUCUGAGAUGAAUGCUUGUAAUAGCAUAGCUCGCAUUUUUGUUUUUGAUACUAUGCAAUCUGUGGUUGAAUACAGUUCCUGUUUGGAACCUCUUGUAUCGCAUUGUAUAGAUUGUGACGCCUAGAACGUACAGGGGAGGUUCUGUCCGUUCGGCGGUCUGUCGGCGUGCCCGAAUCCGACCAAAUAGGCGGAGCUCGGGGCGUGACAGAUUAAAUGGUAUCAGAGCAUGAAAAGAGCAAUAGAAACGGUUUAAGCGGACCUAGGAGACCUAGGAUAGUAAACCGUAAGGACUUAUGUUCGUGAGAGACGAGGACUUGUGACGUGUGGCGAAAGGUAAAUCGAUUGGGUCAAGUUUAGUAAACCUCUAAGACGGAUAUUAGAGGUAGAUUCAAGGUUCAGUUUAUUCUCAGCCAAGUGAGUUCAUGUUGGGUCGACACAACAUGAAACCGAGGGAUGGGAAUAAGCUUCCUUGCAUGACUUUCGCCCGAUUUGAGUUUGUGUUAAUUAUUUCGUAUUCGACCCAGAGGGUCGAGGACUAACCGAGUUGUCGUGUCAUGUUUCAGGAAGCGAUGGCACCGCGUAGGCGAUCUUCGUCUAGAUUGGCGCGAGAUGGGACAGAUGGUGUCCCUGAGCAGACUGAGGCGAGCGGAGACUUGGAGCUUCGCGAUCAGUUGGCCACACUCGUGGGAGUGGUGAGGCAACAAGCGGAUGUAGUGCAACGUCAGCAGGAAACUGCUCUGCGACAAGAAGAGCGAAUAAAGAGACUUCAGGAAACAGUGGAUCAGUUAGUGACCGCACCAGUUUCGGCCUGUCGAGUACAGCCGGGAGUUGCGGCAGCGGCAUUUCCGUCGAGGUCGGGUGAUCCAACUGCUAUUGAUUCAGGGCCGGAAGCGGAAAGAGAGCGAGCUUUAGCGGCUCUCAUGUCCUUCAAGAAGUUUGAUCCAUGCGUUUGAUGGAGAGGACAUAGAUCCAUGGACUGUGGAGUCAUGGAUUGAUUCCAUAGAGACUAUCUUCGAGGAUUUGUACACGGUGGAGCGGGACAAGGUACACCUAGCCGUGCAUUGUCUACAAUUGUCGGCGAAGGAAUGGUGGAAAGGCGUUAAACGGAACCGAUCGCCUAGUCUUCCUUCUAUGGUUUGGGAAGAGUUUCGGGAAUUAAUGCGUUCAACUUAUUUCCCCGAUAGUGAAAAGAGAAAGCUUCAGAACAGGUUUCAGAAACUACGACAGGGAGACCGCCUUGUGAGGGAAUACGAGCGGGAAUUCUCUCGUAUCGUGAACUAUGUUCCAAGUGUGGUACGGGACGACAAGGAUCGAGCUGAUUGUUUUGUACGACUUCGGCCUGAUAUUUUUGAAGCAGUGCAUAAUCUAAAGUUGCAGACUUUUGCUGAAGUCUUGGAUCGGGCCUUAUGGAUAGAACAAGGCAAUGCAUCGGUGCAGGAGGAGCGCGAAUCUUAUUACAAGGAAAAAGAAAAAGAACGACCAGCGAGUGGGUAUGAUGGUCAGUCAAGUUCUCAGCGGACCACUGGGAGUUCGCGUUCGCGAUCCCGAGCUCCGGGGACGUAUCGUAGUCGGACCUCGGCAUGUUGUGUUAUUUGUGGGGGUCCUCACUACCCACAGCAGUGUGAGCAACAAGAUGGCAAGUGCUUCAGGUGUGGACGGCCAGGUCAUGCGCGGGACGAGUGUCCACGGGGUGCUAGCCAAGCCUUGAUGCUGGCGACGGCAUUCUCCUCUCCGGGACAACUUGUAGAUGUGCCACCUGUGGCACGGUCUGGAGAGCGAAUGAGGAUAAGGCAACCGAGGGGUUCGCGACGAACGACAAGUGGCCGUGGAUAGGUGUUCCAUGUGGAGGAACCUGCUACGACUGUUGGCAUUGUGACAGGUACGAGUUAAUCAAAGCAAGCAUGUAUUUCAAUAUGAUAUAAAUUGGUGCAUUGCAUGCUUUCUUUAUGUAUUCUAUUACUACUAUUUGUGCAUGAGGAUAGUAGUGAUUGAUUAUAGAGACCCGAACAUGCUUGUGGUGGAUGUGUAGUACCUGCUAUUGCAGAUAGGAGGCCAAAUGGCACUAGCAAAUUGCUGGUAAGAGCCUGUGAAUAAGACGUAAGACUCGUAGUAGAAAUGGUAGUAGCUGACCAACUCUCAAAUUAAUGCGAGUUGCUGAUUGCGAGAGUCUAGUCGCGGUGUUCGUGGAACUCGUGUAAGACCGAGCAUUUUGCAGGUUGUUCUAGUAGAUCGAACAGUGAAAGUGGAGUCACUGUUGCGUCUGGUACGUGCACGUGGACCUAACAAUACCUCGAAUUGAGGUCAAUGGGUCGUGCUCGUGUAGUUGAGUGCAUAGGCAAGAGUUGCCUGAUGCUAGACUUAAUAUAGCACGCGAUAGAGUCGUGUAGAGCGCUCUAGUGUUGGUGCUCGUAGAGUACAGAUUUGUUUCAGCCGUGAGUGCGUUGGCAGUAGCACUUUAGCAUUGCUAAGUGUGAAGCGUGCCAGAGGUCACUCGUAGGGCUGGUGGCUCGCACUAGGUGCGUAGGAGCCGAUAGUGGUAUGUGUGCGCGAUAGAGAGUGUCGUGUGAGACGACGUUUGCGGGUAGUGCUUGGGGACGAUCCGUGCCUGGACCACUUGUGGACUGUGGAGCCUGGGCCCAUUGGGCAGGCACAGUCGGCUGUGAGAGGCAGCGGCCCGGUACCUACGGGUAGGGCAGCGAGUUUUGGUCAGGACGGUAGUUCCAGCAUAGACCCGAGUACGUGGAAUGCCACGUGUUGGAUCGUGAAAUCGGUGAUGCACUAAGAGUGCGGUUGUGACCCAACCCGAGGACUUGGCGUGGUUUGGGGUCUCGGUUGCUCCCAGUUGGAGUAGGUAUAAGGUAUCUCAAAUGAGAACUUUGCUUCGUGAUAAUUGGGUUUACGCUUGCGAGCGAGAGGCAUUAUGUCGUGUCACGGUUGAGUUAGGCAAUCGGCCUAUAGCGGAUCGGUAACUUAUGAACCGAAUUGUGGUAUUGGUUUACUCGUUCAUACUGAAAGCGAGCGUAGUGGACCCAUUCCAGUGGCUUGUGAGUAGGGCCGUGAAAGCGAAGGCUUAGUCCUAUGGAUGAAUUAAUCAGACUUGCUACGAUAAGCAUCGAUAACGAGCUGAGAAUGGAAACGCGAACAAAGUGUUCGUAGAGACUGAUGUGGAGAAAUCAGUAUAGUAUAAAAUGAAAUUGAGAAACUGUAGAAUAGUAUUGGAAUUUAUCUCCAUCCGUUAAGUAAUGAGGAAUAAAAUGUAUCUAAGUUUCGCGGACGAAACUUUUGUUAACGGGAGGAGAAUGUAACAUAUGGAAAUUUGGAGUUGCGAUGUCAACUUUGAUCUCGGGGAUCAAAGUGAGGAUUGAGCUAGUUGGACAUCAUCCUCGAGUGAUUCGUGAUGCGUUGGAAUGAAUUUCGGAGAUAAAUAAGUGUUUCGGCGCAAAUUGGGCGCGAAACGAAAUGUAAAAAGAAAGAGAAUUUUCGGAUUUCCGACGCUAACUUUGAUUAAAAGAAUUAAAGUAAGGCGUGAGGAUAAAUUGUGGUAUCUCCGAAUCAAUUGUGAAGUUUUGGUAAAGCCAAGGGUGUGUUUUCACAGGGUUUUGAAGAGCUCAGUGCGAAGUGGUAGUGCAAAAAGGCCAUGUAAUGGAAUUGGAGCCGAUUCUAUUUCUAAUUCGGCUCAAAUAAUGUCAAAAUGAAAACGAAUUGCUUCCAAAUUGGAUUGGUAGCUUGUGAAGGUCCCUUGGUAUCUUUUGGACAUGUUUGGGUGAAAUCGGAGUGAAAACGGAAACUUUAGAAUUUUCUGUAAAGAACGGGACUGAGAAAAUUAGCGGAAAAUGCACAGUGUCAGAAAAUUAUGAAAAUUGGCAGAGAUGUCAGGAACAUUUUUAUGAGGCUAGAUUUGAAGUUUCAGAUUAUUCUGACACCUAUAGAGAGAGAAAUAGCAUCCGAAAGUUAUCUGAUGAAGAUUAUAGUUCGGGACAGUUCGCAGUGACCAAACGGGGUCGAAACUGAAAUGUUAAAAUUUCAGUGGACUUGUAAAGGAAAACCGAG